GGUUAAGCGACUAAGCGUACACGGUGGAUGCCCUGGCAGUCAGAGGCGAUGAAGGACGUGCUAAUCUGCGAUAAGCGUCGGUAAGGUGAUAUGAACCGUUAUAACCGGCGAUUUCCGAAUGGGGAAACCCAGUGUGUUUCGACACACUAUCAUUAACUGAAUCCAUAGGUUAAUGAGGCGAACCGGGGGAACUGAAACAUCUAAGUACCCCGAGGAAAAGAAAUCAACCGAGAUUCCCCCAGUAGCGGCGAGCGAACGGGGAGCAGCCCAGAGCCUGAAUCAGUGUGUGUGUUAGUGGAAGCGUCUGGAAAGGCGCGCGAUACAGGGUGACAGCCCCGUACACAAAAAUGCACAUGCUGUGAGCUCGAUGAGUAGGGCGGGACACGUGGUAUCCUGUCUGAAUAUGGGGGGACCAUCCUCCAAGGCUAAAUACUCCUGACUGACCGAUAGUGAACCAGUACCGUGAGGGAAAGGCGAAAAGAACCCCGGCGAGGGGAGUGAAAAAGAACCUGAAACCGUGUACGUACAAGCAGUGGGAGCACGCUUAGGCGUGUGACUGCGUACCUUUUGUAUAAUGGGUCAGCGACUUAUAUUCUGUAGCAAGGUUAACCGAAUAGGGGAGCCGAAGGGAAACCGAGUCUUAACUGGGCGUUAAGUUGCAGGGUAUAGACCCGAAACCCGGUGAUCUAGCCAUGGGCAGGUUGAAGGUUGGGUAACACUAACUGGAGGACCGAACCGACUAAUGUUGAAAAAUUAGCGGAUGACUUGUGGCUGGGGGUGAAAGGCCAAUCAAACCGGGAGAUAGCUGGUUCUCCCCGAAAGCUAUUUAGGUAGCGCCUCGUGAAUUCAUCUCCGGGGGUAGAGCACUGUUUCGGCAAGGGGGUCAUCCCGACUUACCAACCCGAUGCAAACUGCGAAUACCGGAGAAUGUUAUCACGGGAGACACACGGCGGGUGCUAACGUCCGUCGUGAAGAGGGAAACAACCCAGACCGCCAGCUAAGGUCCCAAAGUCAUGGUUAAGUGGGAAACGAUGUGGGAAGGCCCAGACAGCCAGGAUGUUGGCUUAGAAGCAGCCAUCAUUUAAAGAAAGCGUAAUAGCUCACUGGUCGAGUCGGCCUGCGCGGAAGAUGUAACGGGGCUAAACCAUGCACCGAAGCUGCGGCAGCGACACUAUGUGUUGUUGGGUAGGGGAGCGUUCUGUAAGCCUGUGAAGGUGUACUGUGAGGUAUGCUGGAGGUAUCAGAAGUGCGAAUGCUGACAUAAGUAACGAUAAAGCGGGUGAAAAGCCCGCUCGCCGGAAGACCAAGGGUUCCUGUCCAACGUUAAUCGGGGCAGGGUGAGUCGACCCCUAAGGCGAGGCCGAAAGGCGUAGUCGAUGGGAAACAGGUUAAUAUUCCUGUACUUGGUGUUACUGCGAAGGGGGGACGGAGAAGGCUAUGUUGGCCGGGCGACGGUUGUCCCGGUUUAAGCGUGUAGGCUGGUUUUCCAGGCAAAUCCGGAAAAUCAAGGCUGAGGCGUGAUGACGAGGCACUACGGUGCUGAAGCAACAAAUGCCCUGCUUCCAGGAAAAGCCUCUAAGCAUCAGGUAACAUCAAAUCGUACCCCAAACCGACACAGGUGGUCAGGUAGAGAAUACCAAGGCGCUUGAGAGAACUCGGGUGAAGGAACUAGGCAAAAUGGUGCCGUAACUUCGGGAGAAGGCACGCUGAUAUGUAGGUGAAGUCCCUCGCGGAUGGAGCUGAAAUCAGUCGAAGAUACCAGCUGGCUGCAACUGUUUAUUAAAAACACAGCACUGUGCAAACACGAAAGUGGACGUAUACGGUGUGACGCCUGCCCGGUGCCGGAAGGUUAAUUGAUGGGGUUAGCCGCAAGGCGAAGCUCUUGAUCGAAGCCCCGGUAAACGGCGGCCGUAACUAUAACGGUCCUAAGGUAGCGAAAUUCCUUGUCGGGUAAGUUCCGACCUGCACGAAUGGCGUAAUGAUGGCCAGGCUGUCUCCACCCGAGACUCAGUGAAAUUGAACUCGCUGUGAAGAUGCAGUGUACCCGCGGCAAGACGGAAAGACCCCGUGAACCUUUACUAUAGCUUGACACUGAACAUUGAGCCUUGAUGUGUAGGAUAGGUGGGAGGCUUUGAAGUGUGGACGCCAGUCUGCAUGGAGCCGACCUUGAAAUACCACCCUUUAAUGUUUGAUGUUCUAACGUUGACCCGUAAUCCGGGUUGCGGACAGUGUCUGGUGGGUAGUUUGACUGGGGCGGUCUCCUCCUAAAGAGUAACGGAGGAGCACGAAGGUUGGCUAAUCCUGGUCGGACAUCAGGAGGUUAGUGCAAUGGCAUAAGCCAGCUUGACUGCGAGCGUGACGGCGCGAGCAGGUGCGAAAGCAGGUCAUAGUGAUCCGGUGGUUCUGAAUGGAAGGGCCAUCGCUCAACGGAUAAAAGGUACUCCGGGGAUAACAGGCUGAUACCGCCCAAGAGUUCAUAUCGACGGCGGUGUUUGGCACCUCGAUGUCGGCUCAUCACAUCCUGGGGCUGAAGUAGGUCCCAAGGGUAUGGCUGUUCGCCAUUUAAAGUGGUACGCGAGCUGGGUUUAGAACGUCGUGAGACAGUUCGGUCCCUAUCUGCCGUGGGCGCUGGAGAACUGAGGGGGGCUGCUCCUAGUACGAGAGGACCGGAGUGGACGCAUCACUGGUGUUCGGGUUGUCAUGCCAAUGGCACUGCCCGGUAGCUAAAUGCGGAAGAGAUAAGUGCUGAAAGCAUCUAAGCACGAAACUUGCCCCGAGAUGAGUUCUCCCUGACUCCUUGAGAGUCCUGAAGGAACGUUGAAGACGACGACGUUGAUAGGCCGGGUGUGUAAGCGCAGCGAUGCGUUGAGCUAACCGGUACUAAUGAACCGUGAGGCUUAACCUU
This 2905-nucleotide ribosomal RNA is filed under the name Escherichia coli. RNAcentral describes it as "23S ribosomal RNA". It matches the Rfam family "Bacterial large subunit ribosomal RNA". The record is from RNAcentral. RNAcentral also lists the same sequence under 1 other name. Lineage: Bacteria; Pseudomonadati; Pseudomonadota; Gammaproteobacteria; Enterobacterales; Enterobacteriaceae.